UGAGUUCUUUGCAGGGGGCCUAGCCACA
Molecule: non-coding RNA, 28 nt
Filed under: Rattus norvegicus (Norway rat)
Lineage: Eukaryota; Metazoa; Chordata; Mammalia; Rodentia; Muridae
Source: RNAcentral